Molecule: ribosomal RNA, 414 nt
Filed under: uncultured microorganism
Description: bacterial SSU rRNA
Rfam family: Archaeal small subunit ribosomal RNA
Source: RNAcentral
GUGCAGCAGGCGCGAAACCUUCGCAAUGCGGGAAACCGCGACGAGGGGACUCCCAGUGCCUACGCUCAGCGUAGGCUGUUCCCGAGCCUAGAAAGCUCGGGGAGUAAGGGCUGGGUAAGACGGGUGCCAGCCGCCGCGGUAAUACCCGCAGCCCGAGUGGUGGCCACUAUUAUUGGGCCUAAAGCGUCCGUAGCCGGCCCGGUAAAUGCCUGGGUAAAUCGUGAGGCCUAACCUCACGAAUUCCGGGUAGACUGCCGGGCUAGGGGACCGGAGGAGGGAGAGGGUACUCCAGGGGUAGGGGUGAAAUCCUGUAAUCCCUGGAGGACCACCGGUGGCGAAGGCGCUCUCCUAGGACGGGUCCGACGGUGAGGGACGAAAGCCGGGGGAGCGAACCGGAUUAGAUACCCGCGUAGU